UGACCGCGAAACCCUAGCAACAGAGCUAAAC
RNAcentral lists this non-coding RNA (31 nucleotides) under Mus musculus (house mouse). Lineage: Eukaryota; Metazoa; Chordata; Mammalia; Rodentia; Muridae. The record is from RNAcentral.